RNAcentral lists this ribosomal RNA (404 nucleotides) under uncultured Bacillus sp. Its description in RNAcentral is "bacterial SSU rRNA". It matches the Rfam family "Bacterial small subunit ribosomal RNA", at positions 119 to 508 of the family's 1533-position model. The record is from RNAcentral. Lineage: Bacteria; Bacillati; Bacillota; Bacilli; Caryophanales; Bacillaceae.
GGGCAACCUGCCUGCAAGACGGGGAUAACUCCGGGAAACCGGGGCUAAUACCGGAUAAUACCUUCCUUCGCAUGAAGGAAGGUUGAAAGGCGGCGCAAGCUGCCGCUUGCAGAUGGGCCCGCGGCGCAUUAGCUAGUUGGUGAGGUAACGGCUCACCAAGGCAACGAUGCGUAGCCGACCUGAGAGGGUGAUCGGCCACACUGGGACUGAGACACGGCCCAGACUCCUACGGGAGGCAGCAGUAGGGAAUCUUCCGCAAUGGACGAAAGUCUGACGGAGCAACGCCGCGUGAGCGAAGAAGGUCUUCGGAUCGUAAAGCUCUGUUGUUAGGGAAGAACAAGUACCGUUCGAAUAGGGCGGUACCUUGACGGUACCUGACCAGAAAGCCACGGCUAACUACGUGC